RNAcentral lists this ribosomal RNA (564 nucleotides) under uncultured bacterium. Its description in RNAcentral is "bacterial SSU rRNA". It matches the Rfam family "Bacterial small subunit ribosomal RNA", at positions 919 to 1454 of the family's 1533-position model. The record is from RNAcentral.
GCCCGUCACACCAUGGGNAGUGGGUUGCAAAAGAAGUAGGUAGCUUAACCUUCGGGAGGGCGCUCGCAACGCGAAGAACCUUACCUACUCUUGACAUCCAGAGAACUUUCCAGAGAUGGAUUGGUGCCUUCGGGAACUCUGAGACAGGUGCUGCAUGGCUGUCGUCAGCUCGUGUUGUGAAAUGUUGGGUUAAGUCCCGCAACGAGCGCAACCCUUAUCCUUUGUUGCCAGCGGUUCGGCCGGGAACUCAAAGGAGACUGCCAGUGAUAAACUGGAGGAAGGUGGGGAUGACGUCAAGUCAUCAUGGCCCUUACGAGUAGGGCUACACACGUGCUACAAUGGCAUAUACAAAGAGAAGCGACCUCGCGAGAGCAAGCGGACCUCAUAAAGUAUGUCGUAGUCCGGAUUGGAGUCUGCAACUCGACUCCAUGAAGUCGGAAUCGCUAGUAAUCGUAGAUCAGAAUGCUACGGUGAAUACGUUCCCGGGCCUUGUACACACCGCCCGUCACACCAUGGGNAGUGGGUUGCAAAAGAAGUAGGUAGCUUAACCUUCGGGAGGGCGCU